GACGAACGCUGGCGGCGUGCCUAAUACAUGCAAGUUGAGCGAUGAAGCUUGGUGCUUGCACCAAUUUGAAGAGCAGCGAACGGGUGAGUAACGCGUGGGGAAUCUGCCUUUGAGCGGGGGACAACAUUUGGAAACGAAUGCUAAUACCGCAUAACAACUUUAAACAUAAGUUUUAAGUUUGAAAGAUGCAAUUGCAUCACUCAAAGAUGAUCCCGCGUUGUAUUAGCUAGUUGGUGAGGUAAAGGCUCACCAAGGCGAUGAUACAUGGCCGACCUGAGAGGGUGAUCGGCCACAUUGGGACUGAGACACGGCCCAAACUCCUACGGGAGGCAGCAGUAGGGAAUCUUCGGAAAUGGACGAAAGUCUGACCGAGCAACGCCGCGGGAGGGAAGAAGGUUUUCGGAUCGUAAAACUCGGUUGGUAGAGAAGAACGUUGGUGAGAGUGGAAAGCUCAUCAAGUGACGGUAACUACACAGAAAGGGACGGCUAACUACGUG
RNAcentral lists this ribosomal RNA (497 nucleotides) under uncultured bacterium. Its description in RNAcentral is "partial 16S ribosomal RNA". It matches the Rfam family "Bacterial small subunit ribosomal RNA", at positions 28 to 507 of the family's 1533-position model. The record is from RNAcentral.